This 302-nucleotide ribosomal RNA is filed under the name uncultured bacterium. RNAcentral's name for it is "bacterial SSU rRNA". It matches the Rfam family "Bacterial small subunit ribosomal RNA", at positions 9 to 305 of the family's 1533-position model. The record is from RNAcentral.
GAGUUUGAUCCUGGCUCAGGAUGAACGCUAGCGACAGGCUUAACACAUGCAAGUCGAGGGGCAGCGGGGUGUAGCAAUACACCGCCGGCGACCGGCGCACGGGUGAGUAACGCGUAUGCAACUUACCUAUCAGAGGGGGAUAGCCCGGCGAAAGUCGGAUUAAUACCCCAUAAAACAGGGGUCCCGCAUGGGAAUAUUUGUUAAAGAUUCAUCGCUGAUAGAUAGGCAUGCGUUCCAUUAGGCAGUUGGCGGGGUAACGCCCACCAAACCCACGAUGGAUAGGGGUUCUGAGAGGAACGGUC